RNAcentral lists this ribosomal RNA (414 nucleotides) under uncultured bacterium. Its description in RNAcentral is "partial 16S ribosomal RNA". It matches the Rfam family "Bacterial small subunit ribosomal RNA", at positions 355 to 762 of the family's 1533-position model. The record is from RNAcentral.
UGGGGAAUUUUGGACAAUGGGCGAAAGCCUGAUCCAGCAAUGCCGCGUGUGUGAAGAAGGCCUUCGGGUUGUAAAGCACUUUUGUCCGGAAAGAAAUCCUUGGCUCUAAUACAGUCGGGGGAUGACGGUACCGGAAGAAUAAGCACCGGCUAACUACGUGCCAGCAGCCGCGGUAAUACGUAGGGUGCAAGCGUUAAUCGGAAUUACUGGGCGUAAAGCGUGCGCAGGCGGUUUGCUAAGACCGAUGUGAAAUCCCCGGGCUCAACCUGGGAACUGCAUUGGUGACUGGCAGGCUAGAGUAUGGCAGAGGGGGGUAGAAUUCCACGUGUAGCAGUGAAAUGCGUAGAGAUGUGGAGGAGUACCGAUGGCGAAGGCAGCCCCCUGGGCAAUACUGACGCUCAUGCACGAAAGCGU